This 422-nucleotide ribosomal RNA is filed under the name uncultured bacterium. Its description in RNAcentral is "bacterial SSU rRNA". It matches the Rfam family "Bacterial small subunit ribosomal RNA", at positions 355 to 774 of the family's 1533-position model. The record is from RNAcentral.
UGAGGAAUAUUGGGCAAUGCCCGCAAGGGUGACCCAGCAACGCCGCGUGGAGGAUGAAUGUCGUAAGAUUGUAAACUCCUGUUAGAGGGGAAGAAUAGUACCGGUUGGACCGGUAUAUGACUGUACCCUCAGAGAAAGCCCCGGCUAACUACGUGCCAGCAGCCGCGGUAAUACGUAGGGGGCAAGCGUUGUCCGGAUUUACUGGGUGUAAAGGGCGCGCAGGCGGGAUAAAAAGUCAGUGGUGAAAUCCUACAGCUUAACUGUAGAACUGCCUUUGAUACUUUUAUUCUUGAGUUCGGGAGAGAGAGACGGAAUUCCAGGUGUAGUGGUGAAAUACGUAGAUAUCUGGAAGAACACCAGUUGCGAAGGCGGUCUCUUGGUCCAACACUGACGCUGAGGCGCGAAAGCGUGGGGAGCAAACA